UGAAGCGAAAGUAAAAUUUCGUGGAGGUCCGAACCCACGAGCGUUGAAAAGCUCGGGGAUGACUUGUGGGUAGCGGUGAAAUUCCAAUCGAGCCCGGAGAUAGCUGGUUCUCCCCGAAAUAGCUUUAGGGCUAGCCUCAAGGUGAGAGAUACGGAGGUAGAGCACUGAAUGUCCUAGGGGGUAUUGCACCUACCGAAGACUAUCAAACUCCGAAUGCCGUCAUCUUAUACUUGGGAGUCAGACUGUGGGUGAUAAGAUUCAUAGUCGAAAGGGCAACAGCCCAGAUCGUCAGCUAAGGUCCCUAAAUGUAAGUUAAGUGGUAAAGGAUGUGGGAUUGCACAGACAACCAGGAUGUUGGCUUAGAAGCAGCCACUCAUUCAAAGAGUGCGUAAUAGCUCACUGGUCGAGUGAUCCUGCGCCGAAGAUUUCCGGGGCUAAAACUUACUACCGAAGCUACGGCAUCAGUAAUGAUGGGUAGGGGAGCUUCCCAUACGGGUUGAAGCAUGACCGUAAGGACAUGUGGACAGUAUGGGAGUGAGAAUGUUGGCAUGAGUAGCGAGAUGUGGGUGAGAAUCCCACAGGCCGUAAACCCAAGGUGUCCAGGGGAAGGUUCGUCCGCCCUGGGUUAGUCGGGACCUAAGCUGAGGCCGAAAGGCGUAGGUGAUGGACAACAGGUUGAUAUUCCUGUACUACCGAUAACCGUUUGAGAGAUGGGAUGACACAGUAGGAUAAGCUAAGCACACUGUUGGUUAUGUGUGCCCAAGCAUUGAGGCAGUCAAAGUAGGCAAAUCCGCUUUGAUAAUGCUGGGAUGUGAUGGGGAGCGAAAUUUAGUAGCGAAGUAGCUGAUUUCACACUGUCAAGAAAAGUCUCUAUCGAGGUUAAAGGUACCCGUACCGCAAACCGACACAGGUGGGUGAGGGGAGUAUCCUAAGGCUAGCGAGAGAACUGUUGUUAAGGAACUCGGCAAAAUGACCCCGUAACUUAGGGAUAAGGGGUGCCACCAUCAGGUGGCCGCAGAGAAUAGGCCCAAGCGACUGUUUACCAAAAACAUAGGUUUCUGCUAAGUCGCAAGACGAUGUAUAGGAGCUGACGCCUGCCCGGUGCUGGAAGGUUAAGGGGAUCUGUUAGAGCAAUCGAAGCAGUGAACUUAAGCCCCAGUAAACGGCGGCCGUAACUAUAACGGUCCUAAGGUAGCGAAAUUCCUUGUCGGGUAAGUUCCGACCCGC
This 1227-nucleotide ribosomal RNA is filed under the name Clostridioides difficile. Its description in RNAcentral is "bacterial LSU rRNA". It matches the Rfam family "Bacterial large subunit ribosomal RNA", at positions 746 to 1991 of the family's 2925-position model. The record is from RNAcentral. Lineage: Bacteria; Bacillati; Bacillota; Clostridia; Peptostreptococcales; Peptostreptococcaceae.